UUGCCAAGGGCCAGACCCUGCUGGACAUGGUGUGUGGCCAUCUGAACCUGCUGGAGAGGGACUACUUUGGCCUGAAUUUCCAGGACACCGACAACGCCAAGCAUUGGCUGGAUCCCUCUAAAGAGAUUAAGAAGCAAAUUCGGGUUGGUUCCUGGAGCUUUGGAUUUUCUGUCAAGUUCUACCCUCCAGACCCGUCUGUGCUCAUGGAAGAUAUCACUAGGUA
Molecule: long non-coding RNA, 223 nt
Organism: Notothenia coriiceps (black rockcod)
Lineage: Eukaryota; Metazoa; Chordata; Actinopteri; Perciformes; Nototheniidae
Exons: 3
Source: RefSeq, a predicted model, not a curated record